RNAcentral lists this ribosomal RNA (419 nucleotides) under uncultured bacterium. RNAcentral's name for it is "bacterial SSU rRNA". It matches the Rfam family "Bacterial small subunit ribosomal RNA", at positions 24 to 439 of the family's 1533-position model. The record is from RNAcentral.
UCAGAUUGAACGCUGGCGGCAGGCCUAACACAUGCAAGUCGAACGGUAACAGGAAACAGCUUGCUGUUUCGCUGACGAGUGGCGGACGGGUGAGUAAUGUCUGGGAAACUGCCUGAUGGAGGGGGAUAACUACUGGAAACGGUAGCUAAUACCGCAUAACGUCGCAAGACCAAAGAGGGGGACCUUCGGGCCUCUUGCCAUCGGAUGUGCCCAGAUGGGAUUAGCUAGUAGGUGGGGUAACGGCUCACCUAGGCGACGAUCCCUAGCUGGUCUGAGAGGAUGACCAGCCACACUGGAACUGAGACACGGUCCAGACUCCUACGGGAGGCAGCAGUGGGGAAUAUUGCACAAUGGGCGCAAGCCUGAUGCAGCCAUGCCGCGUGUAUGAAGAAGGCCUUCGGGUUGUAAAGUACUUUCAG